AAGAAGGAGACGUCACGCAUAGUAUAAAUGACGUCACAUCCGGGCAGCUAGGUCUGUUGAGCAGUCGGAGCACCACGUGAAAGGUAACGUAAGCGAAAAAAAAGAUCCGUCUCCAUCCAACCGUAAUGUUAAAUGCCAUCGGAUUCUGACAUCGUGAAACUAUUUGAAGUUUAAAGUUGUAAUGAAAUUAAACUGUUGUUGAGGAAACAGUCAGUUAAAAGACCAAAGUGACGUCUGUCCGCUCUACAGCGCUCUGUCGUUUUUACACAGCUGGUAUUUAGUUUAUAUAUUAAUUUACUGACCUGUAUAUACAUGUACUAUAGAGCUUAUUUAAUGUCAUAUUUGACUCGUUCAGUAAGUUAUUUAUGCCUGUCAUGAGCGGAGCACGUGCGCUCACUCGCUGCGGUUAUGAGCCCUCGCGCGAUGUAGUCUGUGUGGACCUCAUCCAGUGAGGUCUGUGUGGACCUCAUCCAGUGAGGUCCGUCCUGUGUGACGUAGUUAGUCCGUGCAGACCUUUCCAGCGAGGCUCAGCCUGCCGUGGCUCUGUCCUUUCCUGUAGUGUCUGCUAGAGAGACGUGAGGCUGUUUGAGGCCCUGCUGUGGCCCCUCGCUGCAGGGUUAUAGGAAAACCUCAGACACGUGGACAGGAAACCUCCAUGUGUUGGUUAAAGGAAACCAGUCCAGGUUUCAAUCUGUAUUCAUUCUGUUUACCUCUUGUAGUCAUGAGCGUGAUGGAGUCCAGUGAGGGGACCCCGUGCAGUGAAGGAACGAGUCUGCAGGUACAGCACAAAUAGUUGUUUACGAUGGUAAUUUGUUGAAAUGACUAAGUACACCUCUUUGAAGGUAUAUUGAUAUUUAGUCUCACUAAAGCUGGUAUCUUAAUGCCGCCACUGAUUUGAAUGUAUUAAACCAUUUGUAUAUUAGAACUUAUGAAGUAUGCAAGACAUCACAAAUGUUUGGAGAAUUUGCCUCCUUUGUUUCAAUAACAAUCUGUCUUGAUUGCUUUAUACUAUUGACACCAUGUAUGCAUGUGUGCUCAUAACUGCUUUACGUGAGCGAUUUUAAGUCUAAUGUCCCAUUAUUUCCACUACUGUAUCCCUGAAGGAAAUGUCUUAAUUUUUUUAAUUAAAUUAACUCUUUACAGGACCGCAGAGAUGAAUUCCUCAGACAUGACUUGAACGCUGGUACUCAACUAUGACUGAGUUGCUAAAGUAAUCAUGGACGUGAUGUGGGAGUCCCGUGAGCCAGUGAGGAGACGCCGUGCCGCGAAGGAACGAGUCUGCAGGACCGCAGAGAUGAAUUCCUCAGACCUGACUUGACAGCUGGGACUCAACUAUGACUGAGUUGCUAAAGAACAGAUUCCAGUCAAAUCUGAGGCCUUGAGCUGCCGUUGAGUCCACUUACGCCAUUGUGCACAGCUUCCAGCUGGGUUCAAUGAGCCGUUUCAUGGUCUUCUGCUGUGUUGAACCGGAGAACUAAAAGUGUCCAUAAGCAGAACUUUGACGCAGAUUUCAUCAGAGUUGGAGAGUUCAUCUGCUGAAGGAAAACAAAUGUAGCAUUUCUGUGUACAGUUGCUGUUAUUCCGCUUCUAAAUAUAAAAAACAUUCUUGUAAUGGCUUCCCUGGUCUUUCUCACGUUGGGUUUAGUGCAAUGAUGUUAGUUGAUGUGCUGUUGGCUCAAUGUUUUGGUGAGUUCUGCAUUAGACUGUUAAGGCCACUCGCCUUUGACAAUGCAGAGACCAGACGUUUAACUUUCACUUACUCAACAAGAACACUGUACGGCACCGAAGAACUUCAUACAUUACAGCACUGGUGCCGCUCACAUGCGCUGAUGGACACGUUGGUCAGACAACGAGGGACAAGUGGAGGCUCUG
This is a long non-coding RNA of Gasterosteus aculeatus aculeatus (three-spined stickleback), 1872 nucleotides long. The record is from Ensembl. NCBI's taxonomy places the organism in Eukaryota, Metazoa, Chordata, Actinopteri, Perciformes, Gasterosteidae.